Molecule: ribosomal RNA, 496 nt
Filed under: uncultured bacterium
Lineage: Bacteria
Description: partial 16S ribosomal RNA
Rfam family: Bacterial small subunit ribosomal RNA
Source: RNAcentral
GAUGAACGCUGGCGGCGUGCCUAAUACAUGCAAGUCGAGCGAACAGACGAGGAGCUUGCUCCUCUGACGUUAGCGGCGGGCGGGUGAGUAACACGUGGAUAACCUACCUAUAAGACUGGGAUAACUUCGGGAAACCGGAGCUAAUACCGGAUAAUAUAUUGAACCGCAUGGUUCAAUAGUGAAAGACGGUUUUGCUGUCACUUAUAGAUGGAUCCGCGCCGCAUUAGCUAGUUGGUAAGGUAACGGCUUACCAAGGCAACGAUGCGUAGCCGACCUGAGAGGGUGAUCGGCCACACUGGAACUGAGACACGGUCCAGACUCCUACGGGAGGCAGCAGUAGGAAAUCUUCCGCAAUGGGCGAAAGCUUGACGGAGCAACGCCGCGUGAGUGAUGAAGGUCUUCGGAUCGUAAAACUCUGUUAUUAGGGAAGAACAAAUGUGUAAGUAACUAUGCACGUCUUGACGGUACCUAAUCAGAAAGCCACGGCUAACUACGU